GCCAUCCUAGCUCAAUUGGUAGAGCAUCUGAUUUGUAAUCAGACGGUUGUCGGUUCAAGUCCGGUGGAUGGCUCCA
RNAcentral lists this transfer RNA (76 nucleotides) under Trueperaceae bacterium. RNAcentral describes it as "tRNA-Thr". It matches the Rfam family "tRNA". Rfam says of the family: Transfer RNA (tRNA) molecules are approximately 80 nucleotides in length. The record is from RNAcentral. Lineage: Bacteria; Thermotogati; Deinococcota; Deinococci; Trueperales; Trueperaceae.